This 1134-nucleotide ribosomal RNA is filed under the name Hypocreales sp. CHTAM75. Its description in RNAcentral is "eukaryotic LSU rRNA". The stretch from base 514 to 1134 matches the Rfam family "Eukaryotic large subunit ribosomal RNA", at positions 1 to 651 of the family's 3401-position model. Lineage: Eukaryota; Fungi; Ascomycota; Sordariomycetes; Hypocreales. The record is from RNAcentral.
AACAAGGUCUCCGUUGGUGAACCAGCGGAGGGAUCAUUACCGAGUUUACAACUCCCAAACCCCUGUGAACAUACCUUAAUGUUGCCUCGGCGGAUCAGCCCGCGCCCCGUAAAACGGGACGGCCCGCCAGAGGACCCAAACUCUAAUGUUUCUUAUUGUAACUUCUGAGUAAAACAAACAAAUAAAUCAAAACUUUCAACAACGGAUCUCUUGGUUCUGGCAUCGAUGAAGAACGCAGCAAAAUGCGAUAAGUAAUGUGAAUUGCAGAAUUCAGUGAAUCAUCGAAUCUUUGAACGCACAUUGCGCCCGCUGGUAUUCCGGCGGGCAUGCCUGUUCGAGCGUCAUUUCAACCCUCAAGCCCUCGGGUUUGGUGUUGGGGAUCGGCUCUGCCUUCUGGCGGUGCCGCCCCCGAAAUACAUUGGCGGUCUCGCUGCAGCCUCCAUUGCGUAGUAGCUAACACCUCGCAACUGGAACGCGGCGCGGCCAUGCCGUAAAACCCCAACUUCUGAAUGUUGACCUCGGAUCAGGUAGGAAUACCCGCUGAACUUAAGCAUAUCAGCAAAAGAAACCAACAGGGAUUGCCCUAGUAACGGCGAGUGAAGCGGCAACAGCUCAAAUUUGAAAUCUGGCUUUCGGGCCCGAGUUGUAAUUUGUAGAGGAUACUUUUGAUGCGGUGCCUUCCGAGUUCCCUGGAACGGGACGCCAUAGAGGGUGAGAGCCCCGUCUGGUUGGAUGCCAAAUCUCUGUAAAGUUCCUUCGACGAGUCGAGUAGUUUGGGAAUGCUGCUCUAAAUGGGAGGUAUAUGUCUUCUAAAGCUAAAUAUUGGCCAGAGACCGAUAGCGCACAAGUAGAGUGAUCGAAAGAUGAAAAGCACUUUGAAAAGAGAGUUAAAAAGUACGUGAAAUUGUUGAAAGGGAAGCGUUUAUGACCAGACUUGGACUUGGUUAAUCAUCUGGGGUUCUCCCCAGUGCACUUUUCCAGUUCAGGCCAGCAUCNGUUUUCGCCGGGGGAUAAAGGCUUCGGGAAUGUAGCUCUUCUUCGGGGAGUGUUAUAGCCCGUUGUGUAAUACCCUGGUGGAGGACUGGAGGUUCGCGCUUCUGCAAGGAUGCUGGCGUAAUGGUCAUCAACGACCCG